AGCAGCUGAUCGACCAGCAACAGGCUAUAGAAGUACUGCCAACCUCAGAUAAAUAAUCAAACAUAAAGUACAAAUUAACAAUUUUGCAAUUAUUGUCAAAUGUGAGAAAUAUUCCAAAUCGACCGUUACAAGUAAAAUUAUCAAGAAUGUUUGAUCACAAUGAAUAUUAUCGCCAACUCUUCAAUUGAUGCAUUCACUUCUUUUUGUUGCGUUUGCUUUGGUGUGUUGCAUCACUGUAAUUGUUUGCAGAAAGUGUGUGUUUGGUUAUGUUUUGUUUAUAAAAUGGACUGAUAACUGCGUUAUACCUACGGUUACAAGUGUGUUUAAAAAUGUUUCCAGUAGUUAACAAUUUAAACAGUUGAAAACAAUCUAGUCGAUAAAGUUAAUUAGUUUCUAAAGUUUUUGUGAUAAUAGUUAUUCUCGUUACAAUGAAGUAUAGUUAGUAGUUACAGUUUGGUGAUUAUUAUUGAUAACGCCUCUACAGGCUCUCAAGUACUUAAGUGUUUGUUGUACUUGAGAUAAUAGUUUUUCUAUUAUAAGUACAGUAUGAAAUGUUCUGUGUAAAUGGUUUUCUAUUGUAUAAAGUUAUUGUAAGUUAUACUCCAGUCAUUCCUUUUCACAGGUUAAUAAUCCAAAACAGUUUUUAUACCUGUGCUACGUAAUGCUAUUUUGCGAAUUUAUGUAUGUUUUGUAUAGAUAACAUGGUACCGAAUUUAACUUUGUUAUAUAAUAUAGAAUUACGGCAAUAAUAUGGAUCCAUCAUUUUAUGGUUUACCAACACAAUUUGGGUCUAAAAAACAUCAUGAACAAAGAAAUUUCUAUCCAAGAUAUGGAAAUAACGUUCAGAAAUAUCAAUGCCCUCGGCGUGAACGAAAAACAAGUGAAAAACAGUUUCUAAUUACGUAUCCCCAGAAAAUAUAUCGGCUCACUUCUGAGAAGGAUUCAAAAGCUCUUCCUAGUGCCAAUAAUUUAUUCUGUGAAAAAAAAUGGAUGAUAGCUUAUCACCAGGAAUUGAAAAACGAACUGAACGCAGUGAAGAGCGAGCUGAAUGAUUUCAAUCUGGAAGAAUGGCACAAACACACAAAGUUCACUUAUAAAUCGGCCAAAGUUCAACCACAUUUGAAAUCCACUAUUCAUCCAGAAUUGCUGACACAGGCAUGGUGCAAGUUUUAUGAGAUUUUGAAUAAUUUUGAGGUGGUGCCAGAUGUAUGUAGAAAAGGACAGCCUCUGAAUAGCAUACAUCUUUGCGAAGCACCAGGGGCUUUCAUUACUUCUUUGAAUCAUUAUUUGAGCACAAACUCUGAAUUACAGAAUGUCACGUGGGAUUGGCUGGCAGUGACCUUGAACCCGUACCACGAGCACAACUCAAGGUCACAGAUGAUAAACGACGACCGCCUCAUCUUCCACACUCUGCCCAAGUGGAACUUUGGAGCCGAUGGCACCGGCAACAUUCAAGAGGUUGACAACAUGAAGUUCAUUGUCGAGGACGCUCGACAAAAGUUUCCAAGCGGAGUUAUGCUGGUAACAUGCGACGGGAGCGUCGACUGCACACUGGAUCCAGCCGAACAGGAGUCGAUAGUUUCGCCGCUGUUCUAUUGCGAGGCGAUCACCGCCCUACACCUGUUGCAGGCCGGAGGCACAUUGGUGCUCAAACUGUUCACACUGUUCGAGUGCGAGACAAUCUGUCUGCUGUUCCUGCUGCACUGUUCGUUCGAGGCAGUCACACUCUACAAGCCGUUGACGAGCAAGGAUGGCAACUCGGAGGUGUAUCUGGUGUGUUGCGGGUACAGACCAACAGAAGCGCUGCGUCAAAUUAUGCCGCAGCUUACUUCUCACUAUGGUCCAAAAAUCACAGAGAAAUCGAUGUUCAGAAAAUGCGAUAUCCCAGUCGACUUCCUGACCGAUGUUUACCGAGCAGCCGAGUUUUUCCAGCAAGGGCAAACGAGUGCCAUUCGCUACAACAUUUCUAGCUUCAACCGCAUCUCGGGUCAUGAAAGGAGACAAUUGCAAGACCAACAGGACGAACUGGCUCACGACUUUGUCGAGUAUUACAAGCUCACAAAGUGUACCAAAGUAAUUGUUGGGAUUAAUAAAAUCAGGCAGGUGCCUGGUCUACCGUCGCAGAGAUUUGAGGACGGAUCCUACAAUGAAAACAAAGACCGUCUGUCAUCAAUGUCCACAUGGCUAAGUUACAUAAAGGACUACAUCACAAAAUACGAAUGUACCUGGCCAUCGACUAGCAAUGAAUUCACCUUCCCCACACUUCCUCACUUGUCCUACAAGUUUGGAAAACGGGUUGACGUUGUAAAUAGCUCCAAGUUCUGCACCAACAGCCUGCUCGAAACCUACAAUAAAAUCAAUAGUCUGUUAGAUAAAGGCUAUGUGGCCCAGGAGUGUUGUUGCAAGGCACCUUCAGAGGUUGAUGCAACAACAGUUGUUGAUGUCACCAAAGAUUAUUUGACUAUGGAAGUUUGGCGAGCCCAAAAACAGGCAACCGAAAAUAUUUUCCGAACCCUGUCAAGUAUGGAACAAGGAUCUACCCUGCAAUUAAUAGGACUCCCUCUGUUGACUCAGUGUGACGUCAGUCUAGUCUGGAUAGUGGGUCACUUCUUUGAAACGGUUACCUGUUUCUACCCAACUGACGCCAUCUAUAAGCUGCAGUUUGAAGGCUUCAACAGAGAGCGCUUUCAACAUACACAGGUGGAUGUUCUAGAUAAAAUGGGGAUGUCCAAUGAGAAUUGUGCUCUAUUAACCAUGUUUCCGAUCACACAGCUCUGCAGUGAUCGACGGUUGUAUAACUGUAUUGUGGCUAUGAACCACAUUUAUACUAAAGAUUACGUUCUCAGACAUAUCAAUUGCAUUCCCCACAACUAAGUUGCUGCGAGAUUUUUGUUGUUAAUUAUUCCAUUUCAGUAUAAUAUAUAAAUAAUGUAAAAAUUUUAAAUUUGUUGUCAGAGAUGUUGUGUAAAUGUUCAGUAAUGAAAUGAAAACACAAUAUAUGUUGGUUUCUAUAUAGUUUUAUUGACACAAGACUGAUGAUGAUUAUACAUUUGGGUCAAUUAAAUAAAAGCUAGCAAUUGCUAGUUCCUAGUAAUUUUCAAACAAAUGCUGGGAUCCGAGUCAUCUAUAUAAUAUUUUUGUAUAGCUGGAACCAAUGACUAUAGUGAGAGAGAGAGGUCAGUGUUUGAUUAGCAAUGGAAUUGCUAUCCUUGUCUAUUAUUCGACAAAGCGGAUAUCUCUAUCUCUUUCUCGCUUUGCUCGCAUUGCCAAAUCGUCUUUUAACAAUGUAAAAUUAAUAAUUAAUCAACAAAAUAUUUCAUCUUAAUUAUGAAAUUAUUGAAAAAUAUAAUUUCAUGCUUAAUAAAAUAUAAUUGAUUAUUUUAAACAAGAAUGAACAGUUAAUAUUACAUCAAUGAACCUGUAUCAGCUACCGUCUAUAGAAGGCAUUGUCAAGACAGAGGAUCGGCAACGUUUUUCUCCACUGCCAUUAUAACUUGGACCUCAUUUUAGUUGCUAGUCACUAUAGUGAGGUCCAUGUUAUAAUGGCAGUGGAUAAAGAUAGAAAAAUAGUGAUGCCGAUUCUCUGAAUUAAUUAAUUAUAUUUCUACACUGUCAGAAACUUAAUUGGCAUCGUUGUGGACCUAGAAAUGGAUAGUACCACCGGCUUUGUCGACAAGGAUAUCAAAACCAAAGUUGAUCAAAUACUGUCAUUAUAACGUGGACCUCACUAUAGAUUCUAUUUUUUAUUCAAUCGACCCAUUGAAUCUUAGGGUGAGAUCACAUCGGAUGUAUUUAUGUGUAAGUGCACGCUUGGUUAUUAUGUGUAAGUGCACGCUUGGUUAUGCAUGACCAAACGCGCAGAUGAGAAACAAACUAUGGAAACAUCAAUAGGAACACUCACACUGAACGCGUGCACUUGCUGGUUGCGUUCAGUGUGAGCAGCUCCCGACAAGUCACAACGUAUUUCAAUGGCUCUAUCCAGAUUUUGUUUUUCGGCUCUGACGUGCACUUGCAUAUAGACGCAUUCAAUGUGAUCAUACACUCUUAAGCUUCUUGUCAAUGAAACUACCUAUUCAUGUAGAAAUGCAACUUUUUGUGUUCUUAUUUCAGUACUUAAUGUAACUAGUGACCAGUUUCUAUUAUCUUGUGUAAAUAAUUAUUAGUUCUUGUAAAAUAGCGUGUGAAAAGUACUGUAUUGAUGUGAGAAUUUAAGUUAACUUCAGAUGAGAGAAAUUUUGAGAAAUGAUUGUUUGAAUAAUUUUAUUGGAUUUUUAUACCAUUUUAUUAUGAAUGUAGCUAAUGUUUUGAAUGUGAAGAAAUAUGUUUGUAUGAAUUUUUAUCGAAAAGAAUUGGAUGAUGGAUAAUAGAAACUCUGUAUUUAGUCUACACAUUGAAAACUUUCAACAAUAUUUUACUAAUCUUAUAAUAUGCUGGGCUAAAUUAAUGAAAACUCUAUAUCAAUUUAUCACAUUCCACAAUCACAAUAUUAAAUUAUUGAUUGGGAGAGAAUCAAAAGGAAAAACCCAAAACUGGUUCUCUCCCUAAUUUUGAUAAAAAUAGUCCAAAUGAGGUUAAGAAAACACAAAAAUUUCCAGUCCAAAUCUACAUUAUACUAAUCUGGGUUGAUCGGAAAGACGAAACAAUUACACUUGAAAAUGAGUCAACAGAUAUAUUAUUUAUAUUCAGUCUACAGAUUGAAAACUUUCAACCAUACUUUACUAAUAUGUAGUGUAUAAGAACUAUGAUGGAUAAACAGUAUUUUGUAAUGUAUUACCUUAAAGCACAAAGUGUUCAACCUUUCACAAAACCUAUGAAUGUGUUCAUAAUGUACCUUCCAAGAAUAAAUCUUGUAGUCGUUAUAGAAUCCAGCAUUGACGUUUUUCAAUUCACUUUACAACUCUUGACUAAUUUCCAUUCCUAGAGAACUCUGCACACAGACGUCUACUGCCUACUAAGGGAACGCGGAAUUGGAAGUGGCAUGUACAUUUGAGUUAUGGACAUUUCUAAUUCCGCGUUCCCAUAUUAGCUGGUGGCUAUGCUGCUACUAAUGUCCCUGUGUGCAGUAUGCUACAUACAAGACUAAACUUUCUUCCAAUUGUCAGGUAGAAAGUUUUUUCCCUUCUAGAAACCUUAUUUGUACAGUUAAAGAGAUUCUGUCAUACGGAUGUCGUAUCUGUAAGUUUCUGAAUGAAUUUUGUUUUAUUGACAUCUACUAUUAACGUUGCUUAUAGCUUGAUUGUUCCAUGGCAAUAAAAUGUUAUUUAUUUGUUAUUAUUUGCAAAGAAUUCAGUUUCAGUAGGGCAAUAGGUAAUUGAGACAAUGUACGAAUUACCUUCAAGACAAUGUUCGAAAUACGAAUUGAUUGAGGCAAUGUUCGAAUUUAAUUGAGGAGGAGAUACCUUUGUGAAUUUUCUAAUGUAGUUAUGUUAUUUGAACGAAAUAUUUAUAUGUCAGGUAUGAAUAAGUUAGCAGCCAUACCAAUACAUAAUUUUAUAGUGAGAUUUUCUCCAAAUUGACAGAAUUCCCUAUAAAUAACAUCAAUCCUUCUCAACUCGAAUGAAUAGUAAUAAAAUAAAUUAAUUUCUAUAUAAAGCAGAUGUAUCGUCGUUUUAUCUAAAAUUAUAUUACCUUGAAUAGCUUUAAAAAGGAUGGAGAAGUUGAUUUAUUGACCAAAUUACUUGAUCUAUUCUUCUGAUUUUGUAUGUUGUUUGAAAAAUGGUAAAAGAAUUUGCAGUAUGGUAUCAGGAUAACUGAAUGUUUGAUGUACCUUAAUAUUGUCAUAAAUUGAUGUACCUUUAUAUUGUAAUAACUUCAAUAAAUGAUCAAUAACAUUGUGCAAGUUAUUUACGGUAACAAAUUCCCAAGGACUUGGAAUAAUCUUGAAAAGUAGUAAGUAUUUGUCAAA
RNAcentral lists this unclassified non-coding RNA (5905 nucleotides) under Nilaparvata lugens (brown planthopper). RNAcentral describes it as "cap-specific mRNA (nucleoside-2'-O-)- methyltransferase 2, transcript variant X1". Lineage: Eukaryota; Metazoa; Arthropoda; Insecta; Hemiptera; Delphacidae. The record is from RNAcentral.